RNAcentral lists this ribosomal RNA (484 nucleotides) under uncultured bacterium. RNAcentral's name for it is "partial 16S ribosomal RNA". It matches the Rfam family "Bacterial small subunit ribosomal RNA", at positions 30 to 507 of the family's 1533-position model. The record is from RNAcentral.
AUUGAACGCUGGCGGCAGGCCUAACACAUGCAAGUCGAGCGGAUGAAGGGAGCUUGCUCCCGGAUUCAGCGGCGGACGGGUGAGUAAUGCCUAGGAAUCUGCCUGGUAGUGGGGGAUAACGUCCGGAAACGGGCGCUAAUACCGCAUACGGCCUGAGCGAGAAAGUGGGGGAUCUUCGGACCUCACGCUAUCAGAUGAGCCUAGGUCGGAUUAGCUAGUUGGUGGGGUAAAGGCCUACCAAGGCGACGAUCCGUAACUGGUCUGAGAGGAUGAUCAGUCACACUGGAACUGAGACACGGUCCAGACUCCUACGGGAAGCAGCAGUCGGGAAUAUUGGACGAUGGGCGAAUGCCUGAUCCAGCCCAGCCGCGUGUAUGAAGAAGGUCUUCUGAUUGUAAAGCACUGUAAGUUGGGAGGUAGGGCAGUAAGUUAAUAGAUUGCUGUUUUGACGUUACCAACAGAAGAAGCACCGGCUAACUUCGUG